CCUACGGGGGGCAGCAGUGGGGGAUAUUGGACAAUGGGGGGAACCCUUAUCCAGCGACGCCGCGUGAGUGAAGAAGUAUUUCGGUAUGUAAAGCUCUGUCAUCAGGGAAGAAAGAAAUGACGGUACCUGACGAAGAAGCCCCGGCUAACUACGUGCCAGCAGCCGCGGUAAUACGUAGGGGGCAAGCGUUAUUCGGAAUUACUGGGCGUAAAGGGGGCGUAGGCGGUUAAGUAAGUAGGGAGUGAAAGGCCUGGGCCCAACCCCGGGGCUGCUCUGGAAACUUUUGAACUUGAGUGCAGGAGAGGUAAGCGGAAGUCCUAGUGGAGCGGUGGAAUGCGUAGAUAUUAGGAGGAACACCAGUGGCGAAGGCGACUUUCUGGACUGUAACUGACGUUGAGGCUCGAAAGUGUGGGGAGCAAACAGGAUUAGAUACCCCUGUAGUC
Molecule: ribosomal RNA, 443 nt
Filed under: uncultured bacterium
Lineage: Bacteria
Description: partial 16S ribosomal RNA
Rfam family: Bacterial small subunit ribosomal RNA
Source: RNAcentral